CCUACGGGAGGCAGCAGUAGGGAAUAUUGCUCAAUGGGCGAAAGCCUGAAGCAGCAACGCCGCGUGCGCGAUGAAGGUCUUCGGAUCGUAAAGCGCUUUUCUGCGAGAUGAGAAAGGACAGUAUCGUAGGAAUAAGUCUCGGCUAACUACGUGCCAGCAGCCGCGGUAACACGUAGGAGGCGAGCGUUAUCCGGAUUCACUGGGCGUAAAGCACAUGCAGG
Molecule: ribosomal RNA, 221 nt
Filed under: uncultured bacterium
Lineage: Bacteria
Description: partial 16S ribosomal RNA
Rfam family: Bacterial small subunit ribosomal RNA
Source: RNAcentral